RNAcentral lists this ribosomal RNA (497 nucleotides) under uncultured bacterium. Its description in RNAcentral is "partial 16S ribosomal RNA". It matches the Rfam family "Bacterial small subunit ribosomal RNA", at positions 28 to 507 of the family's 1533-position model. The record is from RNAcentral.
GAUUAACGCUGGCGGCGUGCCUAAUACAUGCAAGUCGAGCGAACGGACGAGAAGCUUGCUUCUCUGAUGUUAGCGGCGGACGGGUGAGUAACACGUGGAUAACCUACCUAUAAGACUGGGAUAACUUCGGGAAACCGUAGCUAAUACCGGAUAAUAUUUUGAACCGCAUGGUUCAAAAGUGAAAGACGGUCUUGCUGUCACUUAUAGAUGGAUCCGCGCUGCAUUAGCUAGUUGGUAAGGUAACGGCUUACCAAGGCAACGAUGCAUAGCCGACCUGAGAGGGUGAUCGGCCACACUGGAACUGAGACACGGUCCAGACUCCUACGGGAGGCAGCAGUAGGGAAUCUUCCGCAAUGGGCGAAAGCCUGACGGAGCAACGCCGCGUGAGUGAUGAAGGUCUUCGGAUCGUAAAACUCUGUUAUUAGGGAAGAACAUAUGUGUAAGUAACUGUGCACAUCUUGACGGUACCUAAUCAGAAAGCCACGGCUAACUACGUG